AUUGAACGCUGGCGGCAUGCUUUACACAUGCAAGUCGAACGGCAGCACGGGCUUCGGCCUGGUGGCGAGUGGCGAACGGGUGAGUAAUGUAUCGGAACGUGCCCAGUUGUGGGGGAUAACUGCUCGAAAGAGCAGCUAAUACCGCAUACGACCUGAGGGUGAAAGCGGGGGAUCGCAAGACCUCGCGCAAUUGGAGCGGCCGAUAUCAGAUUAGGUAGUUGGUGGGGUAAAGGCCCACCAAGCCAACGAUCUGUAGCUGGUCUGAGAGGACGACCAGCCACACUGGGACUGAGACACGGCCCAGACUCCUACGGGAGGCAGCAGUGGGGAAUUUUGGACAAUGGGCGCAAGCCUGAUCCAGCCAUGCCGCGUGCGGGAAGAAGGCCUUCGGGUUGUAAACCGCUUUUGUCAGGGAAGAAACGCUUUGGGCUAAUACCCUGGGGUAAUGACGGUACCUGAAGAAUAAGCACCGGCUAACUACGUGCCAGCCGCCG
Molecule: ribosomal RNA, 494 nt
Filed under: uncultured bacterium
Lineage: Bacteria
Description: bacterial SSU rRNA
Rfam family: Bacterial small subunit ribosomal RNA
Source: RNAcentral